UACAGAGGUCUCAAGCGUUGUUCGGAUUCAUUGGGCGUAAAGGGCGCGUAGGCGGCGGGGUAAGUCGGGUGUGAAAUCUCAGAGCUCAACUCUGAAACUGCACUCGAUACUGCUCUGCUUGAGGACUGGAGAGGAGACUGGAAUUCACGGUGUAGCAGUGAAAUGCGUAGAUAUCAAGUGGAACACCAGUGGCGAAGGCGAGUCCCUGGACAACUCCUGACACUGAGGCACGAAAGCUAGGGGAGCAAACAGG
RNAcentral lists this ribosomal RNA (253 nucleotides) under uncultured bacterium. RNAcentral's name for it is "partial 16S ribosomal RNA". It matches the Rfam family "Bacterial small subunit ribosomal RNA", at positions 524 to 776 of the family's 1533-position model. The record is from RNAcentral.